UCUACUGUUCAGGCACGAGCUCAA
RNAcentral lists this non-coding RNA (24 nucleotides) under Cricetulus griseus (Chinese hamster). Lineage: Eukaryota; Metazoa; Chordata; Mammalia; Rodentia; Cricetidae. The record is from RNAcentral.